CCUGAACGCUGGCGGCGUGGCUAAGACAUGCAAGUCGUACGGGGCCGCAAGGCCCAGUGGCGAACGGGUGAGUAAUGAAUCGCUAAUGUGCCCCGGACGUCAGGAGUAGCCGCUCGAAAGGGACGGGUAAGUACCUGAUGACAUAACCCUCGUCGCAUGGCGAGGGUUCGUCAAAGGUCCGCCGGUCUGGAGCAGGCGAUUUCGUAUCAGCUAGUUGGUGAGGUAACGGCUCACCAAGGCGACGACGCGUAGCCGGACUGAGAGGUUGGCCGGCCACAUUGGGAC
RNAcentral lists this ribosomal RNA (285 nucleotides) under uncultured bacterium. RNAcentral's name for it is "partial 16S ribosomal RNA". It matches the Rfam family "Bacterial small subunit ribosomal RNA", at positions 30 to 319 of the family's 1533-position model. The record is from RNAcentral.